CUCUGAUCCUGCAGAGCCCUCCCUAUCCCAUAACUGAGGGAGACUGACUACACUGUACAAAUGGAUAUCAGCAAACAAACCCGAUCCCCAAGGUUGAUUUCUACAAAGAUGGAGUACUCAUCAGGAAUGAGACCACAGGAGAGAUGACCAUCCCUGUAGUGUCCAAGUCAAAUGAAGGCUUCUAUAAGUGUAAAUCUAAUGAAGGAGAAUCACCAGAGAGCUAGAGAAAAUGGUCAUGAUCACAUGACCUUUUCAUAAUAUCAAAUCAAAGUUUAUUUGUCACGUGCGCCCCGAAUACAACAGGUGUAGUAGACCUUACAGUGAAAUGCUUACUUACAGGCUCUAACCAAUAGUGCAAAAAAAAGGUGUGUGUGUGUGUGAAGGUAAGUAAAGAAAUAGAACAACAGUAAAAAGACAUUUGAAAAUAAGAGUUGCAAGGCUAUAUACAGACACCGGUUAGUCAGGCUUAUUGAGGUAGUAUGUACAUGUAGGUAUGGUUAAAGUGACUAUGCAAUAUGAUGAAGAGUAGCAGUAGUGUAAAAAGAGGGGUUGGCAGGUGGUGGGACACAAUGCAUGAGGGUAAUAUCUGUGGUCAUAAGUAAUUUGUAGUGUUAAAAAGCAUAGGUUUGGAGUUGCAAGCUCAGGCUGGUCAUCUGAUCUCAAGUCAGUUGUCAAAUAUAUAUUCACUUUGUCCAAUACUUUAUUUAUUUUCUACAACUACCUCAGAACCUGAUAGUAAAUUUGCUGUUCUCUCUCCAGGUGUAACUCCUGGACCCUCUACAUCAGUCCUAGUAGGAGUGGUUGUGGGCCUGGUUGUUGCUGGUGUUCUACUGGCCAUUCUCCUGGUACUGCUGUGUCGAUAUAAAAAAGCCCAAGAUUCCUGUUGCAACAGAAUAUUCUGGCCCCACCAGCCCCAGAGGACCAACCUGGACCCCCAACAGGACCAAGGAUCUACCCAGGGCCAGGCUCCUGAUGCUGGGUAUAAUAAUCUGCAGCA
Non-coding RNA from Salmo salar (Atlantic salmon), 997 nucleotides. The record is from RefSeq and is a predicted model, not a curated record. NCBI's taxonomy places the organism in Eukaryota, Metazoa, Chordata, Actinopteri, Salmoniformes, Salmonidae.